RNAcentral lists this unclassified non-coding RNA (336 nucleotides) under soil metagenome. Its description in RNAcentral is "partial contains 5.8S ribosomal RNA, internal transcribed spacer 2, and large subunit ribosomal RNA". The stretch from base 1 to 120 matches the Rfam family "5.8S ribosomal RNA", at positions 35 to 154 of the family's 154-position model. The record is from RNAcentral.
GAUGAAGAACGUAGCGAAAUGCGAUAAGUAGUGUGAAUUGCAGAAUUCAGUGAAUCAUCGAAUCUUUGAACGCACAUUGCGCCCUAUGGUAUUCCGUAGGGCAUGCCUGUUCGAGCGUCAUUCAAACCUUCAAGCUCUGCUUGGUGUUGGGCGUCUGUCCCGCCUCACGGCGCGGACUCGCCUCAAAUCUAUUGGCGGCCGGCACGUUGGCUUCGAGCGCAGUAGAAACGCGAACUCGAGACCGGCGGAUCGGCUCCCAGAAGCUAACCCCCAUGAAUUUGACCUCGGAUCAGGUAGGGAUACCCGCUGAACUUAAGCAUAUCAAUAAGCGGAGGA